This 69-nucleotide transfer RNA is filed under the name Trimusculus reticulatus. RNAcentral's name for it is "tRNA-Asn". The record is from RNAcentral. Lineage: Eukaryota; Metazoa; Mollusca; Gastropoda; Ellobiida; Trimusculidae.
GUAAGGGAAGCUAAAAUAAAAUUAGCAUCUAACUGUUAAUUAGAAGGUUGCCAUUUAGGGCCCCCUACA